AGCAUUCUGAAUUCAUGCAGAGAUUUCGUCAAACACCAACCCAUUGGCACUGAUCAGACUUCCAAGAUAAGUGAAGUU
This is a non-coding RNA of Schistosoma margrebowiei, 78 nucleotides long. The record is from Rfam. Lineage: Eukaryota; Metazoa; Platyhelminthes; Trematoda; Strigeidida; Schistosomatidae.